RNAcentral lists this ribosomal RNA (566 nucleotides) under uncultured Euamoebida. RNAcentral describes it as "SSU rRNA". It matches the Rfam family "Eukaryotic small subunit ribosomal RNA", at positions 15 to 565 of the family's 1831-position model. Lineage: Eukaryota; Tubulinea; Elardia; Euamoebida. The record is from RNAcentral.
UGCCAGUAGUCAUAUGCUUGUCUUAAAGAUUAAGCCAUGCAUGUCUAAGUAUAAGCACUUGUACUGUGAAACUGCGAAUGGCUCAUUAUAUCAGUUAUAAUUUAUUUGAUGGUCAUUUACUUGGAUAACCGUGGUAAAUCUAGAGCUAAUACAUGCAUAAAAUCCUGACUGGGAACGGAAAGGAUGUAUUUAUUAGAUACAAAAACCAAUGCACUAAGUUCUCUCGAGAGCUUGGUGGAAAACAUGGUGAUUCAUGAUAACUUUACGAAUCGUAUGGUCUUGUACCGACGAUAGUUCAUUCAAAUUUCUGCCCUAUCAACUUUCGAUGGUAGUAUAGAGGACUACCAUGGUGGUAACGGGUAACGGAGAAUCAGGGUUUGAUUCCGGAGAAGGAGCCUGAGAAACGGCUACUACUUCCAAGGAAGGCAGCAGGAGCGCAAAUUACCCAAUCCCGACACGAGGAGGUAGUGACAAAAAAUAACAAUACCGGUCUUAUAUAAGUCUGGUAAUUGGAAUGAGUACAAUCUAAACCCCUUAACGAGUAUCAAUUGGAGGACAAGUCUGGU